Molecule: long non-coding RNA, 1028 nt
Organism: Puntigrus tetrazona (Sumatra barb)
Lineage: Eukaryota; Metazoa; Chordata; Actinopteri; Cypriniformes; Cyprinidae
Exons: 4
Source: RefSeq, a predicted model, not a curated record
AGAGAUAAAAAAGGCAGGCGUUCAUUCAAGCUAAGCCAGAAUUAGCUCAUGUCAUACAAGAAAGGCUGCGAGAAAGUGAUAUGACAGUACCCGGCUCUAAAUUCUAGUUUUGUCACUAGUUUAUCUUGAACACACAGUUCCUGAAGUCUGAGUAUGGGACGUUUCAUUCAAUACACAGCACCUGUCAGGCAUUCGUUCACUUUGGAUGGAUUAUUCACCUGCAUUUGGUGUGAAUAUUACAGCACUGUACUGUUCAAUGAAACCUGGCCAGAGGAAUCGAUAGACUUCUCCAAGACUUUGUUCCUUGUAACUGUGUAAUGGGGGAGAAAUCCCCAAUGCCUGAGUGCAGGAAGGGGAGAGGCCCCAGUCUUGUGUAUCGAUCCUAUAGCACAGACUUGAGGUUAGUCUUUGAUCUCGGGAGAGGGCGAGGAUUAGUAUUUCUCACCUUUAAGAGAAGCAGAGAGAAAUGGGAAAGACACGUGAUUCCUGCCUCGGAGACACAGGAGAAAUAGAUUGACGUCCCACAGAGAAAAGUCUCUUCCCGAUGGGGUUUCCCCUGGGAUGGAAUGCACACGUUCAUCCAACCUCCGUCUGCCGGAGCAGUCAUCUAUCAUUCUACAUUCUACCGUGCAACUGCUUCUUCACAAAAUGGAAACGAACCUGCCACAACGACCUGCAUAAAGAUUUCUGAUUAACAUCAGCUUCCUUUUGCACGUUCAAUAUGCAUGAUAGUGAGGAUAGUUUUGUUCGGUUGAGCUUAUGAGCUCUCUGAGGCAAAAGUAAGUCUCUGUCAGACUGCAGGUGUUUAUCUAUAAUCAGCUCAUAAUGAAUGAGAUCUAUUCCUAGAGAGAGAUUCCUGAUCCUUCUUGGAGAUACUUGAUAUAUAUAUAUUGGAGAGAUAUGUUAUAUGAAUCUGCAGCUUUUAUUAUACCAAAUCUGUUCCUCUCCUCACAGAAUAAAGCUUUCCGUUACUUCGUUCUUCCUCACUGUCGCUCUCCGUCCCUCAACAAAACAUCCGAAAAGAAUAA